Molecule: ribosomal RNA, 260 nt
Filed under: uncultured bacterium
Lineage: Bacteria
Description: partial 16S ribosomal RNA
Rfam family: Bacterial small subunit ribosomal RNA
Source: RNAcentral
CGGCGGACGGGUGAGUAACGCGUGGGUAACCUGCCUCAUACAGGGGGAGUAACAGUUGGAAACGGCUGCUAAUACCGCAUAAGCGCACAGUACCGCAUGGUACCGUGUGAAAAACUCCGGUGGUAUGAGAUGGACCCGCGUCUGAUUAGGUAGUUGGUGGGGUAACGGCCUACCAAGCCGACGAUCAGUAGCCGACCUGAGAGGGUGACCGGCCACAUUGGGACUGAGACACGGCCCAAACUCCUACGGGAGGCAGCAUG